GCGGGCAUGGCGGAAUUGGUAGACGCAAGGGACUUAAAAUCCCUCGAGGGAAACGUCGUGUGGGUUCGAGUCCCACUGCCCGCACCA
This 87-nucleotide transfer RNA is filed under the name Bradyrhizobium sp. LCT2. RNAcentral describes it as "tRNA-Leu". It matches the Rfam family "tRNA". From Rfam's summary of the family: Transfer RNA (tRNA) molecules are approximately 80 nucleotides in length. Their secondary structure includes four short double-helical elements and three loops (D, anti-codon, and T loops). The record is from RNAcentral. Lineage: Bacteria; Pseudomonadati; Pseudomonadota; Alphaproteobacteria; Hyphomicrobiales; Nitrobacteraceae.